Zalophus californianus (California sea lion) is the source of this 934-nucleotide long non-coding RNA. RefSeq lists it as uncharacterized. The record is from RefSeq and is a predicted model, not a curated record. NCBI's taxonomy places the organism in Eukaryota, Metazoa, Chordata, Mammalia, Carnivora, Otariidae. The transcript is spliced from 3 exons.
CCAUGAUCUAGUGAAGGCGGUCCAGUAGCCUGAGUCAAGUGAAUUUAAAAGAAAGAAACUUCUGAAAAUACCGAACUAAAAAAUUCCUGGAAUGAGAGGAAGGAUAAAUUAUUCGAGGUGCCUAUGAAUCUCAUCUGAGAAGCACAUGCUAAUCAGAAGUCAUGACUAAAGGCUGAGGCCAAGCAAAUGAACCUUCAUUCCUUCCUGUUUAGCUCAAAUGCCUGCUUGGAACCGAAACGAGGACCUCCCAGCUCAGGCCUCAGGUCUUCCUAGGCUGUUAUUGCAAGGAGAUAAAGGAGCUUUUGUCUUCGUCUUAGCUAAACACGAUCUGGUUACAGGCUCCUCUCCCUGGUUUCUUGCCUCUGCUAUAUGGAACAUCUGCUUAUGUAAAAAUAUAAUCAACAAGGGUUCACAAAGACUUUCUUGUCUGCCGAGGUGGAACAAGGAUCUCAGGCUUCACCCCCAAACUCAACUUGGCUUACGUGUUCUUGCUCAGAUAAUUAACUCUCCAAUUAAACUCAGGUAAACCUCCCUCCUUAUGGAAAGGGAUGCUCCCUAGCUGUUGACCAUAAGAAGUCAAACUCUCUGUAUAGAACCAACAACGGUGAGUAAAACAGAGUGAAUUUCUCAAGCACAGCCUCUGAGACUGAUUCAGGUCCCUCAUCCAACAAAUGGAAAUAAUAAAACAGAUCCUGUCUACCGUCAUGAGGAUGUUUCAAGAACCUGAGAGCAAUAAAUAUUUAAAGCUGGAAACUCAGAGUCCAUCUGUCCCACCCCUCAUUUUAUGGAUGAAGGCAGUGAGGCCCGACAGACCAAGUGACCACUGAAGGUACAGCUAGGGAGGGGCACAGCCACCACCUGAACCCAAGGUUCGCCCCUGUGCUCUUUCCGCCGGACCACACUGUUCCCACGGGGAAUGUAAGAUUGUGAUAUA